AGAGCAAUCACCACUCAGAAGAGGAAGCCAUCCAUUUUCCUGAGGCUGUCAAAAUUUGAGCUGUUUCCCAUUGGAUUUCCACUGACAGUUACGAAAAAAUUCAGAAUCUGUCAAUUUUGAAAGAAAUUUAAAAGUGAGAAUGAGGUUCCUGUGGACAAAAGCAUCUGCUUCCUGCUCAUCCUAUCUCUUCCGCAUCUGAAUGGUCAUGACUGGAACAUAGGCAGACUUUUAAAGUAUGGCAAUUUACAACCUCAUAAUCGAAUCUUUUAGAAAGAGGGUAUGGGUAACAAUAAACGUAUGUGCUGAGAAAUGA
Long non-coding RNA from Sapajus apella (tufted capuchin), 313 nucleotides. RefSeq lists it as uncharacterized. Lineage: Eukaryota; Metazoa; Chordata; Mammalia; Primates; Cebidae. The transcript is spliced from 2 exons. The record is from RefSeq and is a predicted model, not a curated record.